RNAcentral lists this unclassified non-coding RNA (167 nucleotides) under Arabidopsis thaliana (thale cress). RNAcentral describes it as "partial MIR172e microRNA precursor transcript form 3". Lineage: Eukaryota; Viridiplantae; Streptophyta; Magnoliopsida; Brassicales; Brassicaceae. The record is from RNAcentral.
ACCAAAAUCAUCUUGCUGAUUCAUUUGCUGUCUGAAUCCUCUUGCUUUCCUCUUUGCUUUUUCAUUUGUUGAUUUAAACCAUGGGAGUUCCCAACUUUAGACCUCGAAACCGAUAAGGAUCUUUCUCUGCGGUUGAAAUAGCUAGGUUCUCGAUGAAUAGGCUAGCC